CCGGAAUUUUUUAGCAACAGAGUUUGAUCCUGGCUCAGAUUGAACGCUGGCGGCAGGCCUAACACAUGCAAGUCGAGCGGAUGAAGAGAGCUUGCUCUCUGAUUCAGCGGCGGACGGGUGAGUAAUGCCUAGGAAUCUGCCUGUAGUGGGGGACAACGUUUCGAAAGGAACGCUAAUACCGCAUACGUCCUACGGGAGAAAGCAGGGGACCUUUCGGGCCUUGCGCUAUCAGAUGAGCCUAGGUCGGAUUAGCUAGUUGGUGAGGUAAUGGCUCACCAAGGCGACGAUCCGUAACUGGUCUGAGAGGAUGAUCAGUCACACUGGAACUGAGACACGGUCCAGACUCCUACGGGAGGCAGCAGUGGGGAAUAUUGGACAAUGGGCGAAAGCCUGAUCCAGCCAUGCCGCGUGUGUGAAGAAGGUCUUCGGAUUGUAAAGCACUUUAAGUUGGGAGGAAGGGUUGUAGAUUAAUACUCUGCAAUUUUGACGUUACCGACAGAAUAAGCACCGGCUAACUCUGUGCCAGCAGCCGCGGUAAUACAGAGGGUGCAAGCGUUAAUCGGAAUUACUGGGCGUAAAGCGCGCGUAGGUGGUUUGUUAAGUUGGAUGUGAAAGCCCCGGGCUCAACCUGGGAACUGCAUUCAAAACUGACAAGCUAGAGUAUGGUAGAGGGUGGUGGAAUUUCCUGUGUAGCGGUGAAAUGCGUAGAUAUAGGAAGGAACACCAGUGGCGAAGGCGACCACCUGGACUGAUACUGACACUGAGGUGCGAAAGCGUGGGGAGCAAACAGGAUUAGAUACCCUGGUAGUCCACGCCGUAAACGAUGUCAACUAGCCGUUGGGGACCUUGAGUCUUUAGUGGCGCAGCUAACGCAUGGAUUGAAACGCAAUGGGGACCGC
This 899-nucleotide ribosomal RNA is filed under the name Pseudomonas fulva. RNAcentral describes it as "bacterial SSU rRNA". It matches the Rfam family "Bacterial small subunit ribosomal RNA", at positions 1 to 883 of the family's 1533-position model. The record is from RNAcentral. Lineage: Bacteria; Pseudomonadati; Pseudomonadota; Gammaproteobacteria; Pseudomonadales; Pseudomonadaceae.